Salvelinus namaycush (lake trout) is the source of this 990-nucleotide long non-coding RNA. RefSeq lists it as uncharacterized. The transcript has 2 exons. NCBI's taxonomy places the organism in Eukaryota, Metazoa, Chordata, Actinopteri, Salmoniformes, Salmonidae. The record is from RefSeq and is a predicted model, not a curated record.
GAGUCCUGGUGGCACUCCUCUGUUUGAUAAGGAGAAUAUGGAGACGGGCACUGGCCUCACCCCCAUCAUGACUCAGGCCCUGCGAUGCAAGUUCCAGAGUGCCUUACCACGAGGACUGUCUCCAAAGGCAAAGAAUCUCAACGAAAGCUUUGAUCAAAACUGAGACAUUUGUUGAUGUAUACACAGAUGUCGAUCGAGACUAGUUCAAAUGUAACGGAAAGGCAGCUGCCAUGAUGAAAAGUUCCAGUGUUGUAUGAGGACGGUAUGCAAGCUAUAGAUGUAACUAUUGGCACAAUGCACAUUCUCUAGCACUUUCUGGUUUCCGUUGCUAAAUGGGUUUCUGCCUUCUAUUGCUGGAUGGGUUAUUUCAUACUUUUACCAUUGCUGAAUGAAUUACUAAGUGCUAGGUAGAUUGAGGAUGAAAAGAGGAAACACUUGUCUUGGACCACAAUUUUAAAAAGGACAUAAGUUCUAAAGGCAAGAGCCUUGACCGCCCCACUAUAUCAAACAUAGGUUUGGUCAAUCCCAACACUGCCUCAAAACUGCAUGCUUCUUGGAAAAGUGACACCAAGGAGGAUGUUAAGUGAGCGAUACUGAGAUUUAAAAGGCAGUAGUUGAGAUACUCUGAACAUGUUGUGGAAACAAUCGAUGAUCUGUUACUUGGAAUGAGUGAGAAGCAUCACUUGGUUUGAAUGUGGUUUCAGUUUAAUCUUUUCUAUGAGGAAGUCAAUUUUAACUGUUGUAAAUGUAUCUGAGGAUCUAUGUUUGGAAAUUGCACAUUGACUGGGGGACCCUAUGUUUGAGCUAUUACACGUUAUUUGUUACUUUUUCCAAAAAGCUUCUUGCAUUAUCUUUUGAUUUUCAUUUUUUUUUAACAUUUUCAGCACAUUGUUUUAAAAAGUAUUUUAACCACUUGUGUUUAAGAAUACAAUUGAAUUUGUGAUUUCCUAGACAUGUUUAGGAAACACCAAAUAAAUUAACAAAAAAAAU